RNAcentral lists this ribosomal RNA (388 nucleotides) under Chytridiomycetes sp. RNAcentral's name for it is "partial small subunit ribosomal RNA". It matches the Rfam family "Eukaryotic small subunit ribosomal RNA", at positions 582 to 975 of the family's 1831-position model. The record is from RNAcentral. Lineage: Eukaryota; Fungi; Chytridiomycota; Chytridiomycetes.
AUUCCAGCUCCAAUAGCGUAUAUUAAAGUUGUUGCAGUUAAAAAGCUCGUAGUUGAAUUUUGGACCUGGUUGAAUGGUCCCGCCGCAAGGUGGGUACUGUUUGAUUGGGUCUUUCUUUGCGGGGAAUUAGUGUGCUCUUAAUUGGGUGCAUUAAGGAUCCGUAACUUUUACUUUGAAAAAAUUAGAGUGUUUAAAGCAGGCUUAGGCCUGAAUACAUUAGCAUGGAAUAAUAGAAUAGGACCUGUGUUCUAUUUUGUUGGUUUCUAGGACGUAGGUAAUGAUUAAUAGGGACAGUUGGGGGCAUUAGUAUUUAGGUGUCAGAGGUGAAAUUCUUGGAUUGCUUAAAGACUAACUUCUGCGAAAGCAUUUGCCAAGGAUGUUUUCAUUA